The sequence is a transfer RNA, 75 nucleotides long. It matches the Rfam family "tRNA". Rfam says of the family: Transfer RNA (tRNA) molecules are approximately 80 nucleotides in length. Their secondary structure includes four short double-helical elements and three loops (D, anti-codon, and T loops).
GCGAGUGUAGUAUAACGGCUAUUAUGCUACCUUCCCAAGGUAGAGACGGCGGUCCGACUCCGCUCACUCGCUCCA